ACAAGUAAACAUAUAACAUGAAGAAAACAAAACAAAGGACAGGAUGGAGUUACAAGUGAAGAGGGUUGCAUUGGAGGAGAAAAGAGUCAGGGGAAGGGAGAGAGGGAAGAAGCUGAGGAGAUAUAAAAUGGGGCAGCCCUUUUCGAGUAGAGAGAAGGAGGGCAGGUGUCUCGAAUGUAUGGGGGCAGCUGCCCAGCUCUAACUCCCCAACUCUUGACCGCCCUGUCUUGCUCCAUGCCUUGACUCUGAACUUCAUUCUUCUUGCCAAUCUUUCUGCCCUGCUUUCCUUUUAACUUGAUUGUUUGUGUGCAUAUAUGUUUGGUUUUUUCUUGGGUUUUAUUGGGGUUUUAGCGAUUUAGGUAAGCCCAUUUUUCUUGGGGAUAGUAAUUUUAAAUAUACUUGGUAGGGAUGAGAAAAAACCGAUUUAAAACCAAAACCGAACUGAAAUCGGGAAAAAUCGGAAAAUC
RNAcentral lists this long non-coding RNA (467 nucleotides) under Daucus carota (carrot). RNAcentral describes it as "long non-coding RNA (DCAR_LNC006924)". The record is from RNAcentral. Lineage: Eukaryota; Viridiplantae; Streptophyta; Magnoliopsida; Apiales; Apiaceae.